This 446-nucleotide ribosomal RNA is filed under the name uncultured bacterium. RNAcentral describes it as "bacterial SSU rRNA". It matches the Rfam family "Bacterial small subunit ribosomal RNA", at positions 329 to 792 of the family's 1533-position model. The record is from RNAcentral.
UGCCAGACUCCUACGGGAGGCAGCAGUGGGGAAUAUUGCACAAUGGGGGAAACCCUGAUGCAGCGACGCCGCGUGAGUGAAGAAGUAUCUCGGUACGUAAAGCUCUCUCAGCAGGGAAGAAAAUGACGGUACCUGACUAAGAAGCCCCGGCUAACUACGUGCCAGCAGCCGCGGUAAUACGUAGGGGGCAAGCGUUAUCCGGAUUUACUGGGUGUAAAGGGAGCGUAGACGGCAGCGCAAGUCUGAAGUGAAAUGCCGGGGCUUAACCCCGGAACUGCUUUGGAAACUGUGCAGCUAGAGUGCAGGAGAGGUAAGUGGAAUUCCUAGUGUAGCGGUGAAAUGCGUAGAUAUUAGGAGGAACACCAGUGGCGAAGGCGGCUUACUGGACUGUAACUGACGCUGAGGCACGAAGGCCAGGGGAGCGAAAGGGAUUAGAUACCCGAGUA